Molecule: ribosomal RNA, 496 nt
Filed under: uncultured bacterium
Lineage: Bacteria
Description: partial 16S ribosomal RNA
Rfam family: Bacterial small subunit ribosomal RNA
Source: RNAcentral
GAUGAACGCUGGCGGCGUGCCUAAUACAUGCAAGUCGAGCGAACAGACGAGGAGCUUGCUCCUCUGACGUUAGCGGCGGACGGGUGAGUAACACGUGGAUAACCUACCUAUAUGACUGGGAUAACUUCGGGAAACCGGAGCUAAUACCGGAUCAUAUAUUGAACCGCAUGGUUCAAUAGUGAAAGACGGUUUUGCUGUCACUUAUAGCUGGAUCCGCGCCGCAUUAUCUAGUUGGUAAGGUAACGGCUUACCAAGGCAACGAUGCGUAGCGGACCUGAGAGAGUGACCGGCCACACUGAAACGGAGACACGGCCCAAACUCCUAGGGGAGGCAGCAGUAGGAAAUCUUCCGCAAUGGGCGAAAGCUGAACGGGGCAACGCCGCUUGAAGAAUGAAGGUCUCCGGUUCGUAAAACUCUGUUAUUAGAGAAGAACAAAGGUGUAAGUAACCAUGCACGUCUGAACGGAACCAAAUCAGAAAGCCACGGCUAACUACGG